GACGAACGCUGGCGGCGUGCUUAACACAUGCAAGUCGUGCGGAAAGGCCCCUUUGGGGGUGCUCGAGCGGCGAACGGGUGAGUAACACGUGAGUAAUCUGCCCUGCACUUUGGGAUAACUGCCGGAAACGGUGGCUAAUACUGGAUAGGACUGCAUCCUGCAUGGGGUGUGGUGGAAAGCCUUUGGGUGGUGUGGGAUGUGCUCGCGGCCUAUCAGCUUGAUGGUGGGGUAGUGGCCUACCAUGGCUUUGACGGGUAGCCGGCCUGAGAGGGUGACCGGUCACACUGGGACUGAGACACGGCCCAGACUCCUGCGGGAGGCAGCAGUGGGGAAUAUUGGACAAUGGGCGGAAGCCUGAUCCAGCAACGCCGCGUGAGGGAUGACGGCCUCGG
This 392-nucleotide ribosomal RNA is filed under the name uncultured bacterium. RNAcentral describes it as "bacterial SSU rRNA". It matches the Rfam family "Bacterial small subunit ribosomal RNA", at positions 28 to 420 of the family's 1533-position model. The record is from RNAcentral.